GGGAUUAGAUACCCCACUAUGCUUAGCCUUAAACCCAGAUGUUAAAUUUACAAGCAACAUCCGCCAGGGUACUACAAGCGCUAGCUUAAAACCCAAAGGACUUGACGGUGUCUCAGACCCACCUAGAGGAGCCUGUUCUAGAACCGAUAAUCCCCGUUAAACCUCACCACCCCUUGUUUUCCCCGCCUAUAUACCGCCGUCGCAAGCUUACCCUGUGAAGGUCCCAUAGUAAGCAAAAUGGGUAAAUCCCAAAACGUCAGGUCGAGGUGUAGCUUACGAGGUGGGAAGAAAUGGGCUACAUUUUCUGUAUCAGAAUAAUACGAACGGCAUCAUGAAAUUGAUUCCCAAAGGUGGAUUUAGUAGUAAAAAACAAAUAGAGAGUCUUUUUGAACCAGGCUCUGAGACGCGCACACACCGCCC
RNAcentral lists this ribosomal RNA (420 nucleotides) under Corynopoma riisei. RNAcentral describes it as "partial 12S ribosomal RNA". It matches the Rfam family "Bacterial small subunit ribosomal RNA", at positions 774 to 1395 of the family's 1533-position model. The record is from RNAcentral. Lineage: Eukaryota; Metazoa; Chordata; Actinopteri; Characiformes; Stevardiidae.